Long non-coding RNA from Rhipicephalus sanguineus (brown dog tick), 516 nucleotides. RefSeq lists it as uncharacterized. The record is from RefSeq and is a predicted model, not a curated record. The transcript has 5 exons. NCBI's taxonomy places the organism in Eukaryota, Metazoa, Arthropoda, Arachnida, Ixodida, Ixodidae.
AUUGUUGCAGUGCAGCAACUACGACAUCGAAUACAAAACCCAAGCCCUCACUGCGGCGCUCAACGCUUCCGUGGCGGCCACACUGCCUGAAGAGGAACGCAACGAAAGCUUAAUUGUUUCAGAGUCUAUCGUACGAUUCUGUUCAUAUGGAGUUACCCUUCCGAAGGACCGCUUCAAGUACACGUGCGAGGAGUAUUUGGCUAUGAUCACCGUUACGUGCGACACCCCAGUUGAACUGAGUGUUCCCGACGUUGGCGGCCUAAGCAGGUGCGCUGAGCGGAAUAAAAUUGAGAACAUGUGUAUGAAAGGAGACGUCAUCACUUGGCAGACUUUUAUUGACCUGAUUAACCUGUCGAGCUGUGUCUUCUAUGGUAUCACUUCAGUCCUUCCGUAUCAGGAAUACUAACGAGGCUGCUACCAAAAUCAAUAAAUGUAUGCAGUACAGCCGAACCUGCACUAAAUCAAGCAAAUCUCAGUUACCGACUACAGCAUUUACGUAAUAAAACAUCACAAAGC